Molecule: unclassified non-coding RNA, 236 nt
Filed under: plant metagenome
Description: partial contains small subunit ribosomal RNA, internal transcribed spacer 1, and 5.8S ribosomal RNA
Source: RNAcentral
UUUCCGUAGGUGAACCUGCGGAAGGAUCAUUACUGAGUGAGGGCCCCUCGGGGUCCAACCUCCCACCCGUGUUUAACGAACCUUGUUGCUUCGGCGGGCCCGCCUCACGGCCGCCGGGGGGCAUCUGCCCCCGGGCCCGCGCCCGCCGAAGCUACCUGUGAACGCUGUCUGAAGUAUGCAGUCUGAGACAAUUAUUAAAUUAAUUAAAACUUUCAACAACGGAUCUCUUGGUUCCG